Molecule: ribosomal RNA, 395 nt
Filed under: uncultured bacterium
Lineage: Bacteria
Description: bacterial SSU rRNA
Rfam family: Bacterial small subunit ribosomal RNA
Source: RNAcentral
UUGGGAAUCUUGGACAAUGGGGGAAACCCUGAUCCAGCCAUGCCGCGUGAGUGAUGAAGGCCUUCGGGUUGUAAAACUCUUUCGACGGGGACGAUAAUGACGGUACCCGUAGAAGAAGCUCCGGCUAACUUCGUGCCAGCAGCCGCGGUAAUACGAAGGGGGCUAGCGUUGUUCGGAAUUACUGGGCGUAAAGCGCGCGCAGGCGGCUAUCCAAGUCAGUGGUGAAAGCCCGGAGCUCAACUCCGGAACUGCCAUUGAAACUGUUUAGCUUGAGGACGAGAGAGGUGAGUGGAAUUCCCAGUGUAGAGGUGAAAUUCGUAGAUAUUCGCAAGAACACCAGUGGCGAAGGCGGCUCACUGGCCCGAUACUGACGCUGAGGUGCGAAAGCGUGGGGA